AAGGCAUACAAUCCCGACGUCCAGGCACUUCCGCAUCGGCAUCUUCGAGUCCUCUCGGUAAAAUAAAUCUUGAUUUCAAAACAUGCAAGGCAAACAAGACCGCCUAGACGGAUAAUAUAGGGCUGGAUCCUGCAUCCAGCAGCAGUUCUACAUUGACAUCAACCACCGCAGUUGUGCUAGUACCAUAUGGCAGAAAUUAAAGGCGGAAAUUCAAAGCAGACUAGCGGAUAUGGGGUCCUAACCUAUCAUUGCAUGACUAGGUUUCUAAGGCCAUCCCUAUUCAUGCUCAUCUAGCAGAUAUAACCCUAAGCAUGUUUCUAAGCAGUCACAGCAGAUAGCAGUUACCAAGCGGGUUUUUUAGAGAUCGUACCAUGGCAUUUCUGAUGAAGCUUCUGCACUCGGAGCCACUCACUCCCACCCCCUGAAUUAAUCACAUACCAUUUCAAAAUUCCUAAUACAUUUUCUAAAGUUCAGGGUCCGACUGCACAAGGGUCCACAUUGCUUAAUCCAGUUGGGUCCAAGAGUUCAUUUCCAUUAUAUGUCAGAUUUCUACUUUAGCUCAGAGUUCAAUAAAAAUUUCACCAGCGGAUUCAUACA
Molecule: long non-coding RNA, 597 nt
Organism: Pyrus x bretschneideri (Chinese white pear)
Lineage: Eukaryota; Viridiplantae; Streptophyta; Magnoliopsida; Rosales; Rosaceae
Exons: 2
Source: RefSeq, a predicted model, not a curated record